AGAGUUUGAUCAUGGCUCAGGAUGAACGCUAGCUACAGGCUUAACACAUGCAAGUCGAGGGGCAGCGAGAGGAAAGCUUGCUUCCUGUCGGCGACCGGCGCACGGGUGAGUAACGCGUAUCCAACCUUCCCCUUAGUAGGGCAUAGCCCGGCGAAAGUCGGAUUAAUACCCUAUGUUUUUCCGAUGAGGACAUCUGAGCUGGAACAAAGAUUUAUCGCUAAGGGAUGGGGAUGCGUCUGAUUAGGUUGUUGGCGGGGUAACGGCCCACCAAGCCUGCGAUCAGUAGGGGUUCUGAGAGGAAGGUCCCCCACAUUGGUACUGAGACACGGACCAAACUCCUACGGGAGGCAGCAGUGAGGAAUAUUGGUCAAUGGGCGCGAGCCUGAACCAGCCAAGUAGCGUGCAGGAAAGACUGCCCUAUGGGUUGUAAACUGCUUUUAUGCGGGGAUAAAGUGCAGCACGUGUGCUGUUUUGUAGGUACCGCAUGAAUAAGGACCGGCUAAUUCCGUGCCAGCCGCCGC
This 521-nucleotide ribosomal RNA is filed under the name uncultured bacterium. RNAcentral describes it as "bacterial SSU rRNA". It matches the Rfam family "Bacterial small subunit ribosomal RNA", at positions 8 to 518 of the family's 1533-position model. The record is from RNAcentral.